AUGGCGGUGAUGUGCGGUGCUGAGGUAGCCAUCGUCGCCUUCUCACCCGGCGGCAAGGCCUUCUCCUUCGGCCACCCCUCCGUCGAGGCCGUCAUUGACCGCUUCCUGGCAGGGGGCGGUGCGGGAGUCCUGAGCAUCGCUAAUGAUAACGAGCUGAAGAAGUUGCACCUUCAGCAUGGCGAGUUGCGCAUGUUGCUAAAGGAGGUGAAGGAGCGCAAAGAGUGCAUGGAGAAGGCCAUGGCAAAGGAGCGCACUGCGGGGGAUCAGAUUGCCAUGUGGCUCAACCCCAAACUAUGCGCAAUGGGGGAGGAAGAGAUUAUAGCCUUCGCCGCGAAGCUGAGGGUGGUGCGGGCUGCCGUCUCAGAACGCACAAACCAGGCGCUCCUGGAUAAGCAGAAGACCCACCACAUGCUCCAGGCGCCCGCGCCGCCGCUACAACAGCUCUUUGGUGGCAGUACCUUUGAGUUUGGUAGCAGCAGCAGCGCCAACACUGGGAUGGAGAUGCAACAGAUGCAUAUGGUGAUGCCUCCGAUGCAGGGGUUCGCUGCCGGAAUGGAUAUGCACCAUAUGCCAAUGGAGAUGCCUCCGCCACUGGGUUCGGCCUACGGGAUGGAUAUGCAGCAGAUUCUUAUGCCGACUACUUCGCCAUCCAGGUUCGACGCCGGGAUGGAGAUGCAGCAGAUGGUUACAGUGAUGUCGCCACAGCUAGAGUUCGCCACGGAGGCAGAGAUGCAACAGAUGUUUAUGGCGAUGUUUCUGAUGUCGGAGUUCUCCGCCGGGAUGGAGAUGCCGCCGCCCACGGGAAUAGCCGCGGGGGUAGAAAUGGUGCAGCAGGGGCCCGGGACGAACAUGGGCUUUCCGUACUUAGGAGAAGGAGACAAGAUCCAUACCGAGUCUGAGUCCGAGUCCGAAUCCGAGUGUCUUAAUCAGUCCGAGUGA
Molecule: ribosomal RNA, 939 nt
Filed under: Triticum aestivum (bread wheat)
Lineage: Eukaryota; Viridiplantae; Streptophyta; Magnoliopsida; Poales; Poaceae
Description: partial small subunit ribosomal RNA
Source: RNAcentral